Molecule: non-coding RNA, 661 nt
Organism: Pogona vitticeps (central bearded dragon)
Lineage: Eukaryota; Metazoa; Chordata; Lepidosauria; Squamata; Agamidae
Source: RefSeq, a predicted model, not a curated record
AAAAGAUGUAUGGGAGAAGGUCAAAAAUUGUCUACGUUUACCACGUUCAUAGACUUGUGGCAGGAGUUGCAUGUUCAGACAAGGUUAUGUUAGCCUGGAUGGUGCUGCAGCUCUAGAAAGGCAAUUAAAAAGCAAAGCAAACCUUGCAGGAUUUCAAUAUAAGAUGAAGAAGCACGAACUACAGCUGAGCUAUAAAGUUCCAUGCCAAUGAAAUCCAAGGAACUUCCUGGAUAGGAGGCUGAAAAUGAUACCAAGGAAGGCUAUGCAGAAGACCAUCAUAGCAGCAUAGUGUUACGAUCGGAGGGUGACUCUUCUGGAUUUUCCAUCAGUCAUAGCUCUGUUAGCACAGACGCAACGCUGACUGUGGAAAAUGUACAGUUGACCUGGUUCAGCAAGAGUGAGACGAGGGAGGGCAGGCUGUCUUCUCUACAGAUCACCCAGUGACCACCACUCAUCCUCAUCUCACUUUCAGGAUUCCUAUGUCUAUGAUGCCUCUUUUAUACCAUGCUGCUUUAGUUUAUAAUCUGAUAAAACUACAAAAUAAGAGAUGUUGCAAGAAGAUUGUACUGAAAUGCUGCAUGAUUUUCUUCUCCAAGCUCUUCACAUUAAAACACAAUUCAAUCUGAAAUGGCACUUGUGUCAGCUUAUUGUUCAAACUGAA